GUGGGGAAUAUUGGACAAUGGGCGCAAGCCUGAUCCAGCCAUGCCGCGUGAGUGAUGAAGGCCCUAGGGUUGUAAAGCUCUUUCACCGGAGAAGAUAAUGACGGUAUCCGGAGAAGAAGCCCCGGCUAACUUCGUGCCAGCAGCCGCGGUAAUACGAAGGGGGCUAGCGUUGUUCGGAAUUACUGGGCGUAAAGCGCACGUAGGCGGACAUUUAAGUCAGGGGUGAAAUCCCGGAGCUCAACUCCGGAACUGCCUUUGAUACUGGGUGUCUGGAGUAUGGAAGAGGUGAGUGGAAUUCCGAGUGUAGAGGUGAAAUUCGUAGAUAUUCGGAGGAACACCAGUGGCGAAGGCGGCUUACUGGACUGUAACUGACGCUGAGGCGCGAAAGUGUGGGGAGCAAACAGGAUUAGAAACCCGUGUAGUCC
RNAcentral lists this ribosomal RNA (425 nucleotides) under uncultured bacterium. RNAcentral describes it as "partial 16S ribosomal RNA". It matches the Rfam family "Bacterial small subunit ribosomal RNA", at positions 354 to 796 of the family's 1533-position model. The record is from RNAcentral.